Molecule: long non-coding RNA, 1675 nt
Organism: Ictalurus punctatus (channel catfish)
Lineage: Eukaryota; Metazoa; Chordata; Actinopteri; Siluriformes; Ictaluridae
Source: Ensembl
AAUGAAAGCAAAAGUUAUGCUAAGCGGGUGAUAUAAAGCCUGUGUAGGAUAGGAAGUCCUCCAUCUGAAAAGACUCUGUCCCAGGUGAUAUAUCGUCAGAAGAAGAGGAGAUCAUGAGUCACCGUCAGUGCAAGUGUAACUGCUCUUGCUCUAGCAGAUCAAACAGCAGUUCAAACAGCCAGCUGGUGUCAUACGGCCAUACACCAAAUCAAGUCGUCCUUCAUGGAGGCAGUAAUUACAGAUAAUUUAUGGACGAGCCGAAUAAUCAGGUGGAAUACAGUAUGAAGCGCAAGAAACGUAUUUAUGUUCAGACUGAGUAUGGCCUGAAGCCCGUUGACGUCGAAGAAACGCUUUCAUACCAUGUGGAAGGAGACGUGGACUUCUUGUGAAGAAACAAAGCGGGGAAGCAGAAAGAAUAAAUCUAAAUCAAACUCAGUUUCUGCUCAGGCUGUUUUUUGUUUGUCAUCAAGUCAUCGACGAAUGCAGUUCUUAUAUUCGGCUAAACAUGAAAAAGGUUUUCUUCGUAAGACGUGCUUAUAAUUGAGGUCUUGGUUGUAAAGGUAGCUUCCUCUUAGCUGGGAUUAUUCCUUUUCUUGCAAACAUUUCUCCUUGUAGUGAGUACAUAAAAGAUUUACUUAAAAUUGCAUCCCGCAUGGGCUUAUUGAGCAAGAACCUGAGAACCAGACUGUAGCAGACUGUAGAAUGCAUUAAGUGCACAAAAUAAUUUCAUUCUAGCUGUGUAACAUCUGAAACAUUGAAGUUGCACAGUCAUGCAACAAAAGUACCUCACGUAUAUUUGUAUUAAAAAAUUUAAAUGAUUAUCUGACUGGUGUUCAUGUGGGUUUCCUGUGGGGUUCUCUGGUUUCCUCCCAAAUGCACAUGCAGAUAGGUGGACCGGCUAUGCUAAAUUGCCUCAGGUGUGAAUGAACUGGUGUCUCUCCAGGGUGGAUUCCUGCCUCACACCCAAUAUUCCCAAGAUAGACUCUGGAUCCAUUGCGACCCUGAACAGGCUGGAGUGCGUACAUCUUCAUACAUGUUUAAUAAAGUGUUUUUCACUACUACAAUAUUUUGUUUAUUAACGGUCCUUUAAAUUGUGUCUAUAGUUAGGAUGAGGGAUGUUACAGUAAAAUAAUAAAAGCAUGUGUAACUUAUUUACGGUGUUUAAUGUGAGUAAUAAAACACUGAUGUGUGUUUAAAACCAGUGUAAAAUGAACUUAAAUCUCAGGUGUGCUAUAACCAUAAACCUAACCAAUAACUAUAACCUAACCAAUAACUAUACACCUAACAAAUAAUCAGUCAAGUGUGACUGAGUGUAAGGCAAAUACAUACUAUAAGUAAGUCAACUUCUAUAGUAAGUCUAGUGUGAUUCAACUGGACUGAAGCUAUUUCAUUAUUCUUUUUGUCCUGCACCCAACAAAAUGGUCAGUGGUAUGAUCAUAAGCCACUGCUGGUCCACAGAAAAAAGAGCUGGCCAGUAUCAAAUAUUUCCAGAUUAUUUUUUACAUAAUGUUGAAGUUUAAUGUUGCAGUUAUUCAGCCUUGGCUUAAAUGUAAUAGGUCUAGUGCUCAAACUAAAAAAAAUUUAUCUAUAUCCUGGCAAAAUUAGACAACUACAUAUAUGAAUCUUUGAAAUGUCCUUUGUGUUCCUUUUUACUUUCUUUAUUGUUGAUUCUUUU